This 616-nucleotide long non-coding RNA is filed under the name Salvia miltiorrhiza (redroot sage). RNAcentral's name for it is "long non-coding RNA (SMIL_LNC012951)". The record is from RNAcentral. Lineage: Eukaryota; Viridiplantae; Streptophyta; Magnoliopsida; Lamiales; Lamiaceae.
UAUUAUUAAUUUAUUUGGCGGUAUUAUGAUCAAUGAAUCUCUUUAACAUGAUCUUGUGGUAUAUCAUGCUUGUAUGCAGAUCAUUGUUCCAUGUGUUAUCAUGGAACAUUAUGUUAUUGUUCGAAUCCAUCCCGGACUUUGGCAAGCAGAUUUGUUCGAUCCAAAGUAUCAUGGUUUGGAUGAACAAUCCAAACUAAUUCGUGCCGAUGAAUUACAGCCACUACUAACUUUGUUCUCUCGAGUAUUGGAAUCUGCUGGAUACUGGGCUACAAACGAGUUAGCUUUGACGAGGAAGACCCGACCAUUACAGAUAUACAUUCCGGGUCCAGAAGAGCAGUUUACCCAGAAGGACUUGUAUUCAUCUAGCCCAUUCGCAUGCAUGAUAGUGGAGCGUAUCAUUUCUGGUUAGCCAAGUAUUACUUGGGGGGACACGCGCGUCAACAAGUAUAGGGAAUUGAUUGCCGCUAGCAUUUUUGAUAUGGGUGUAGUGGAGGAGUAGUGCACGUAUCAUAUGAACUUGUUUUUUAUUCUUAAGACAUUUGCUACCUUAUGAUCAUGUUUUGUAUUGUUAAGACAGUUGCUACCUUAUUAAGACAUUUGCUACCUUAUGAUCAUG